Camellia sinensis is the source of this 695-nucleotide non-coding RNA. Lineage: Eukaryota; Viridiplantae; Streptophyta; Magnoliopsida; Ericales; Theaceae. The record is from RefSeq and is a predicted model, not a curated record.
GCUUCAAUCAAAACACACAAGUCAUCAUUAACUUCUUUGAGUUACUGAGAGAAAAUCAGAGAGAACAAUUCUUCAUUUUUAGUCAAGAAUGGCAGCUCAAGUAGGUAGAUUCAUGGCCAAGACCAUGGUCCUAAUGCCUACUUUCAAACCCUACCAGCUCAGAAAUAUUAUUAUAUGCGCUAAGAGUGGAAAGAACAUUGACGCCAAUAAUUCGACGCCACCAGUACGUUCGGGCGACGGUCCAAAACACAACAUGCAAGUUACCGGAGGAGGAGGAGGAGGAGGAGGAGGAGGAGAUGGAGGAGGAGAUGAUAAUAUUGACAAAGCUAAAGCAGAUGAUGUCAAUGCCAAGAAGAGCUAGUCCUCAUAUCUCUAAUAACUUUGUUAGCUAGUAGUUAUUGUAGCUAUGUUCAUGGCCGAAAGGUUGGAAUAAGUUUGUAAGUUGUGACUACUAUAUAUUUGGAUUCGACUUCUCGCCAGUCAACUAGAGAGAAUGAGAGAAAGACCAGUUCACAAUACUGUGUGAAUUACUCUCUUUCAUAUUUUUCAGUUGACAAGAGAGAUAUUGUGAAAAUUGUAUUUCACUAGCGUGUUUUUUGUUUUUAUUUGUUUUUGGCCUUCGCUUGUCUUUACACAUUGUAAGAUAAAGCAUAUAUGUAUGAAUAAAUAUUAAAUGUAAGAGUCACAUUAUUCUA